Molecule: unclassified non-coding RNA, 352 nt
Filed under: Hevea brasiliensis (rubber tree)
Lineage: Eukaryota; Viridiplantae; Streptophyta; Magnoliopsida; Malpighiales; Euphorbiaceae
Source: RNAcentral
GUAGAAGUGUAAAACGACUGGAAUGCUUUCUCACUUGGCAGGAAAAUUAAGGAAUUAUGCCCCGGGGAGGGCGGUGGGGUUGGGGGGGGGUUGGUGUGGAGGAUAUAGUGCACAGUAAACAAAACUAAGCAUAUGCCCUGAUUCCGACUCUAGAAAUGAUAUUUCUAAAAUAAUUCCAUGCAUACAUGAGAUCCCAAAUCUUUGCUACAUAUGCCAGCCCCAAGGAGUCAGGGACUUUCACUAAAAUGCUGCAUGUGCUUGAUAAAAAAAGUUAGGUGCUGGUCUAAAACAAACAAAUUCACAAGGUUGUCAAAAUGCCAGUUAAAUAUUACAAUUUCAGAACAGACCUAAG